Molecule: long non-coding RNA, 2885 nt
Organism: Heterocephalus glaber (naked mole-rat)
Lineage: Eukaryota; Metazoa; Chordata; Mammalia; Rodentia; Bathyergidae
Source: Ensembl
CAGACUCAGCCUGUGCCCCUAGCUUCCUGACAGACACAGUCUGCUCCUCCGGGGCUGGGAGGGGCUCAGUGACAGGUGUCCUUCUUUCUGGGAAAUGAUUAGCACCCCAGGGAAGCACUGUGCUGGCUCUGAGCAUCUCAUUAACAGCAUGACUGUGCGCUUCCGGUGCUGAGCUGGGCCCUGCGGUGGCUGCGGAUGGGCAGGGCAUUGAGGGCCACAGCUCCUGGCCACCGCGCCUCCCGGAUGUGCAAAUGCCUGCAUCCAGGUGGCUCCCAGAAACCCGGCCUCCUAACCAAAAGAAAAUUUCCUGGGCAGAGACCGGAUCCUUCCUACUAGAAAAAUGGUUUCCCCUUGCUCUGUGCCUCUGAUACAGACACACACACACUCUGCCGGCAGCUCCUCCGUCCUGGCUCGGAGGCGCCCGCCUCUCUUCACUCCCAUCCUGAGGCCUGUCACUGGCAAACCGGCGGGGCGCGUGGCUGUCUGGGGCGAUCACGUCAGCUCUCCUCUCCGCGUUUAACACCAUGGGAGACCAUAUUUUAGUGCAGCGUUCAGGGGAUUCAACUCUUCCAGCCUCCAACUCUGAGUACAGGAAGCAGGUCCCUUUCAUCCGCCGCUGCGGCCUAAGUGCCUCGCACAGCCCCGGCGCUCGCAGGCCGGGUGGCGGGGGAGCGCGGGCCUGGGCGCCUGGGGAGCGGCCGAGCCCCGGAGGUGCGGCCUGCGCCCCGCCUUCGCCGGCGGAGCGAGGACCCCGCGAAAACGACCGGGGGCUGCGGCGGGCGCGGCCGGGCUGCAGGCGAGGCGCUCCAGGCCGGCCUAGGCGACCUAGGGCCGCAGAGCACGACGCCGCUGCUCCACGACGAUCUCGAAAUGAGCACACCACCCAGCGAUGGAGCCAUUUGCACAACGCGCAGGCCCUGAGCGGAUCCUGUGAUUACCACCAGCAGUGCUGACAUGAAGUACUCAGCUAUGCUCUUCUAGCCUAAAUGCUGUGCUCAAACUGGAAGAAUCAGCCUCCCGGGCGAGGUAUCACCCUGUCCUACUUUGAAAAGGACACAGUGCAGGGAUGAAGAACAGAGGCUUUUGCUGCUGAGAGAUCAUAUUUUAAACAAGACGUAAGUGGAGUCUUCAUAACCAGUCUGAUAAAUUCUCUUAGGGUAGUCAUGGGUCUGCCUCUCUGGCCACUGCCAUGUUAUGUAUCCUGAGCCGCAGUGGCUCACAGCUGUGCAGAAGGUAUCUGCUCUAUUGAGUCCAAUAGUUUCAAGCUGCUGAUUCUCAGAGCAGUAAUCCAUCCCAGCAUUGGUCCGAAGAACCCUGUGGACUGAGAAUUCACUAACCUUCACAGACUGGCUCAGCACUAGCACCUCUACUUCUCUACAGGUGAUCUCUAAUAGCCUUGCAAGCAGUGGUCCAGACAUCAAGAACUAAAAAAACACCUUUAAAAGCCAAUGCUUACUACAAACUCUAAAAGAUUUUUCUCUCCUGCUAAACAAGCUGGCCCCUUAGAGAGAAGUUACUUCUUUUAACUAAAUAUGUGUCCUUGACGUAAUAAGAAUGAGGACUUUUCCUCAGUAUAACUGAAAUAGAAAAGUCAAUAGCAGGAAAAGAAAGACUGUAAGAAUAUAAGGAAGACCCUCAUGGAAGAUGAGAGAAUGGAAGCCAACAAAUCAACAAAUCAGAAAUCUUUACAAGGAUACCAAAGCUAGUAAACACUGAUUCUGUUUAUUCCAGGCAUACAAAAGAAAUGGAAGAUUCAUCCUUUUCAGGUUGGUUGGAGCCGUACCACUGAUAAACAACACUUAAUACAGCAAGAGUAUUACCAUUGCAAUAACAGAAUGAUCAAAUGUAACAAUACCAACUAAUAUUCAAAUGAUACUAAUGAUACUAAUGUUCAAAGUAUAAUGAUACAUCAAGUAUAUUUAAUGGAGAGAAAUACCUCAAUAUGCCAUAACCCAGUAGGUAUCCGGAUUUUCCUUUUGCUAUUGUAACAGCCUAUUUUAUAUCCAUAAUUAAUCUUUCAUGAUUAUUUUUAAAAGGUAAAAAUGUGUAGAGUUCUUUGAACGUAUAAUUUAGUGUUUAUUUUUCAAAACUAACCCAUGCUAUAUUUUGAAAAGCAACAAUUUCUUCCCUUGAGUUAUGUAUUUAUUUUAUCAAGAGUCUGUUAGGCAAAUUUCAACAAAUAAUAAAACCCUAACAGCAGCACUAUAAUUUCUGUAGGAAGUUUAGACAGCAAUUUCCAAUGAGCAAUCAAGCUUGUCAUAAUAAGCAUCUCAAGGAAUCUCGCCUAAUGACAAAGUCCAAAGGCCAGUAGCUGGGUGUGGGCUGUUGUAUUUUAUACAUACUCAGAUACAGAAAGUGUCAGUCACUUUACAAGGAAUGCACAAAUAAAUGUAGCUGAAUCAGAAGUAAACAUCUUAUUGAGCCCUCACAUCCAACCAUUAGCAGUAAUACUUUCUCUGGGAAGUUUUCAAGGCAGUUUUUGAACAACUUUGUAAAAAGUGACCAUUUUAAGAAACAAUUCUCUUUAUGUUAUGCCAUUCUUUCCCUUUACUUUUCAUGGCUAAUUUUAAUCCAAAUAUAAACCUGAAAAUUGCUUAGGUAGUUUUCAGCUUAGUAAUGCAGCCAGUUAAUAUAGUAUUUAUUUCCGUGGGAGUCCAGCAUGCAUGUUAAGAUGUGACAGACAGAUUAGUCAAAAGAAUAUGUAUUUGCCAUUUGCAGUCUCCCAGGAACUGUUUCUUGGGACUGAAUGGAAGGAUCUAAGAGCCCAUAAGAAUUCACUGAUUUUCAUGGCAUGACUGAUUCAUAUUCUGCUACCUGAAGGAACACAGUGAGAUAAUGUUUAUUUUCAGAAAACUUUCUAAAUUUCUCUUGCUGUUUGGUAGCCC